AUUAGAUAAAAAACCAACGCGGCUCGCCGCUCCCUUGGUGAUUCAUAAUAACUUCUCGAAUCGCAUGGCCUUGCGCCGGCGAUGCUUCAUUCAAAUAUCUGCCCUAUCAACUUUCGAUGUAGGAUAGAGGCCUACCAUGUUUCAACGGGUAACGGGGAAUAAGGGUUCGAUUCCGGAGAGGGAGCCUGAGAAACGGCUACCACUUCCAAGGAAGGCAGCAGGCGCGCAAAUUACCCAAUCCCGACACGGGGAGGUAGUGACAAUAAAUAACAAUAUAGGGCUCUCUUGGGUCUUAUAAUUGGAAUGAGUACAAUUUAAAUCCCUUAACGAGGAACAAUUGGAGGGCAAGUCUGGUGCCAGCAGCCGCGGUAAUUCCAGCUCCAAUAGCGUAUAUUAAAGUUGUUGCAGUUAAAAAGCUCGUAGUUGAACUUCAGGCCUGCCCGGGCGGUCUGCUUAACGGUAUGUACUGUCUGGGCGGGUCUUUACCUCUUGGUGAGCCGGCGUGCCCUUCAUUGG
This 516-nucleotide ribosomal RNA is filed under the name uncultured fungus. RNAcentral describes it as "SSU rRNA". It matches the Rfam family "Eukaryotic small subunit ribosomal RNA", at positions 209 to 726 of the family's 1831-position model. The record is from RNAcentral. Lineage: Eukaryota; Fungi.